AAACGCUAAAUGAAAUGAGAAUUUCACGUUUGGUGUUAAGGGAGGGAAAACUUUUUAAUAAAAUUUUGGCCUAUCCUAAU
This is a non-coding RNA of Genlisea aurea, 80 nucleotides long. The record is from Rfam. Lineage: Eukaryota; Viridiplantae; Streptophyta; Magnoliopsida; Lamiales; Lentibulariaceae.